UCUACGGGCGGCUGCAGUGGGGAAUAUUGGACAAUGGGGGGAACCCUGAUCCAGCCAUGCCGCGUGUGUGAAGAAGGCCCUCGGGUUGUAAAGCACUUUCAGUGAGGAAGAACGCCUGGUGGUUAAUACCCAUCAGGAAAGACAUCACUCACAGAAGAAGCACCGGCUAACUCCGUGCCAGCAGCCGCGGUAAUACGGAGGGUGCGAGCGUUAAUCGGAAUUACUGGGCGUAAAGCGCGCGUAGGUGGCUUGAUAAGCCGGUUGUGAAAGCCCCGGGCUCAACCUGGGAACGGCAUCCGGAACUGUCAAGCUAGAGUGCAGGAGAGGAAGGUAGAAUUCCCGGUGUAGCGGUGAAAUGCGUAGAGAUCGGGAGGAAUACCAGUGGCGAAGGCGGCCUUCUGGACUGACACUGACACUGAGGUGCGAAAGCGUGGGUAGCAAACAGGAUUAGAUACCCGUGUAGUC
Molecule: ribosomal RNA, 465 nt
Filed under: Vreelandella stevensii
Lineage: Bacteria; Pseudomonadati; Pseudomonadota; Gammaproteobacteria; Oceanospirillales; Halomonadaceae
Description: partial 16S ribosomal RNA
Rfam family: Bacterial small subunit ribosomal RNA
Source: RNAcentral